Non-coding RNA from Acanthosepion pharaonis, 112 nucleotides. Lineage: Eukaryota; Metazoa; Mollusca; Cephalopoda; Sepiida; Sepiidae. The record is from the annotation of a GenBank genome assembly.
ACAGCGAUAUCAUAUUGAAACACCAGUUCUCAUACAGUCACUGAAGUUAAGCAAUAUUGACCCUGAUCAGUAGUUAGAUGGGUGACUGCUUGAGAAUACCAAGCGCUGUAAG